CUACGGGCCGCUCCAGUGAGGAAUAUUGCACAAUGGGGGGAACCCUGAUGCAGCAACGCUGCGUGGAGGAUGACGCAUUUCGGUGUGUAAACUCCUUUUAUAUGUCAAGAAAAUGACGGUAGCAUAUGAAUAAGCACCGGCUAACUCCGUGCCAGCAGCCGCGGUAAUACGGAGGGUGCAAGCGUUACUCGGAAUCACUGGGCGUAAAGGACGCGUAGGCGGGUUGGAAAGUCAGGUGUGAAAUCCUACAGCUUAACUGUAGAACUGCACUUGAAACUUCUAAUCUAGAGUAUGGGAGGGGGAGAUGGAAUUAGUGGUGUAGGGGUAAAAUCCGUAGAUAUCACUAGGAAUACCUAAAGCGAAGGCGAUCUCCUGGAACAUUACUGACGCUAAGACGUGAAAGCGUGGGGAGCAAACAGGAUUAGAUACCCUAGUAGUC
This 439-nucleotide ribosomal RNA is filed under the name uncultured bacterium. RNAcentral's name for it is "partial 16S ribosomal RNA". It matches the Rfam family "Bacterial small subunit ribosomal RNA", at positions 339 to 795 of the family's 1533-position model. The record is from RNAcentral.